GAUGAACGCUAGCUACAGGCUUAACACAUGCAAGUCGAGGGGAAACGGCAUCGAAAGCUUGCUUUUGAUGGGCGUCGACCGGCGCACGGGUGAGUAAAGCGUAUCCAACCUGCCCAUCACUUGGGAAUAACCUUGCGAAAGUAAGACUAAUGCCCAAUGACAUCCCACGAAGGCAUCCGAAUGGGAUUAAAGAUUUAUCGGUGAUGGAUGGGGAUGCGUCUGAUUAGCUUGUUGGCGGGGUGACGGCCCACCAAGGCAACGAUCAGUAGGGGUUCUGAGAGGAAGGUCCCCCACAUUGGAACUGAGACACGGUCCAAACUCCUACGGGAGGCAGCAGUGAGGAAUAUUGGUCAAUGGGCGAGAGCCUGAACCAGCCAAGUAGCGUGCAGGAUGACGGCCCUAUGGGUUGUAAACUGCUUUUAUAAGGGAAUAAAGUGGGUCACGUGUGACUUUUUGCAUGUACCUUAUGAAUAAGGACCGGCUAAGUCCGUG
RNAcentral lists this ribosomal RNA (492 nucleotides) under uncultured bacterium. Its description in RNAcentral is "partial 16S ribosomal RNA". It matches the Rfam family "Bacterial small subunit ribosomal RNA", at positions 28 to 507 of the family's 1533-position model. The record is from RNAcentral.